This 492-nucleotide ribosomal RNA is filed under the name uncultured bacterium. RNAcentral describes it as "partial 16S ribosomal RNA". It matches the Rfam family "Bacterial small subunit ribosomal RNA", at positions 28 to 507 of the family's 1533-position model. The record is from RNAcentral.
GAUGAACGCUGGCGGCGUGCCUAACACAUGCAAGUCGACCGACCGAACAGUAAGAGGUUGCUCUUACGGGUGGCGAGGGGCGGGGGGGUAAGGAAUGCAUAGCUAUCUAUUAUUUCGGGGUGAAUUACGGAAAGCGGAGUAAAAUAACGCCGCAUAUGUGCAACGGGUGGUUGCAAAGGAUAAAAGGGCCUUGCGGGAAUGUAUGAGACGAUGCUGGAUUAGCUAGUUGGCAAGGUAACGGCCUACCAAGGCAACGAUGCAUAGCUGACCUGAGAGGGUGAUCGGCCACACUGGAACUGAGACACGGUCCAGACUCCUACGGGAGGCAGCAGUAGGGAAUCUUCCGCAAUGGGCGAAAGCCUGACGGAGCCACGCCGCGUGAGUGAUGAAGGUCUUCGGAUCGUAAAACUCUUUUAUUAGGGAAGAACAGAUGUGUAAGUAACUGUGCCCAUCUUGACGGUACCUAAUCAGAAAGCCCCGGCUAACUACGUG